RNAcentral lists this long non-coding RNA (1264 nucleotides) under Triticum aestivum (bread wheat). RNAcentral describes it as "long non-coding RNA (TAES_LNC020629)". Lineage: Eukaryota; Viridiplantae; Streptophyta; Magnoliopsida; Poales; Poaceae. The record is from RNAcentral.
CAAUACAUAAUAAUAAAAUGAGCAUGUUGCAUUGGUUCAUAUCUGCAGAGGUGUAUGCACAUUUUGGCAAUCACUAAAUGUUCUUCUUUCAUAAGAAAUCACUAAAUGUUCUUCCUGAUGUACAGUCUGGAGCUUGCAAACCAGAAUGACAUACACUCGAAGCCCUCAAAUCACCAACAUUACUUAGUGCAUCAAGUUUGUUAUGAAACAAAAAAGGAAAAUGCUACCAGCACAUAUGGGACAAGGGGAUCGACACAUCAAACCAAAACUCCCUUUUGGCUACUUGUAUCUUCUGGCCUUUCAGAAAAAGGUGCACCUUCAUAUUUCUUAUAUAAAAUAACACUCCUACAACAGGUGCCAUACUCGAGUUACUAUUAGUUAAAAGUGUUAUUUUCUCAAGACUUGAAGAAGCAAAUAGUACAGUUCAGUUGAGAUGACCAGAAAGGUAUGGUCAAAGUUGCAACCUAUUAAACCACCAUCCGUACAGCUUAGUCGAGAUAAGACCAUCCAUACAGCUUAGUGGAGAUACGACCAUCCAUCUUUCUCUGAAAUAAUCUAUAGUUUAAGAGCAAAAUCUCACUAUAAAAGGCAGAUCAUACCAAGCUUUAGUAUCUGGAACACAAUAUAUCUGUAAUUUAAGCUUUGCAUCGGCCAACAAAAAAGAGAAAUACAUGUAUGUUCCAUGUGUAUAAAUCUAUAAUUUAACAUGACUAUCUGAGAAAUCAAUUCACUUCUCUCUGCACACUUGGUUGAAAUGUUGCAGUAUUUACCAUUAGCAAAUGACCAUGAGCAAGAAAAAUAGCCACCUCAAGUCUGAAUGAGAUCCGAAUGAAUAAAAAUAGCCACUCCAAAUCUAAAUCAGACCCGCAAGAAUUUAUGAACUGCAUGUUUCGGCUCAAUCUAGUUAGGAUUUAGAUUGGCAGGUGCAUGUGUUACCAAAAUCAAAAAUAAUGUACAGAUUUGGGUUCAUGGAUUCACUUGGGAAUUAUGAGUUAGAUGCAAAGGGAAUGCAACAAAUUUAUCUAGAUAGAAGUGGAUGUAUUCAUGCAUGUAUGGACAAACUCAUGAGACAUGACAUAUAUAUUAAGAACUCAUCUGGUGUUUUUUGUGGUGAUGAAGCAAAGACAUUACGGAUCAUUGGAAUUGGAGGGAAUAUGGACUAACCUGAUACAUGACAUAAUUAGAAGAGACAGCGGCGGACAGCGAGGGCUCCUGACUUGUCCCAUCCUGCCCUAUCAGCAGGCGACCUGUGGUGGAUCUUACA